UACGUGGGGUGCAAGCGUUGUCCGGAAUUAUUGGGCGUAAAGAGCUCGUAGGCGGCUUGUCGCGUCUGCUGUGAAAACUCGGGGCUUAACUCCGGGCCUGCAGUGGGUACGGGCAGACUAGAGUGCGGUAGGGGAGACUGGAAUUCCUGGUGUAGCGGUGAAAUGCGCAGAUAUCAGGAGGAACACCGGUGGCGAAGGCGGGUCUCUGGGCCGUAACUGACGCUGAGGAGCGAAAGCGUGGGGAGCGAGCAGG
Molecule: ribosomal RNA, 253 nt
Filed under: uncultured bacterium
Lineage: Bacteria
Description: partial 16S ribosomal RNA
Rfam family: Bacterial small subunit ribosomal RNA
Source: RNAcentral